AGAGUUUGAUCCUGGCUCAGGACUAACGCUGGCGGCGAGCAUAACACAUGCAAGUCGAACGGGGGUAGCAAUACCCCAGUGGCAGACGGGUGAGUAACACGUGGUCAACCUACCUCUGUGUGGGGGAUAACUAGCCGAAAGGUUAGCUAAUACCGCAUACGAUCGUUUUGAGGCAUCUCGAGACGAUGAAAGGAGCAAUCCGCACGGAGAGGGGACUGCGUCCCAUUAGUUAGUUGGUGGGGUAACGGCCUACCAAGACUCCGAUGGGUAGCUGGCUUGAGAGAGCGACCAGCCACACUGGAACUGAGACACGGUCCAGACUCCUACGGGAGGCAGCAGUGAGGAAUUUUCCGCAAUGGGCGAAAGCCUGACGGAGCGACGCCGCGUGUGGGAUGAAGGCCUUCGGGUCGUAAACCACUGUCGAAGGGGACGA
RNAcentral lists this ribosomal RNA (433 nucleotides) under uncultured bacterium. Its description in RNAcentral is "bacterial SSU rRNA". It matches the Rfam family "Bacterial small subunit ribosomal RNA", at positions 8 to 448 of the family's 1533-position model. The record is from RNAcentral.